Molecule: long non-coding RNA, 685 nt
Organism: Raphanus sativus (radish)
Lineage: Eukaryota; Viridiplantae; Streptophyta; Magnoliopsida; Brassicales; Brassicaceae
Exons: 3
Source: RefSeq, a predicted model, not a curated record
UGAAUCUUAACUAAUGAGAUCUCAGUCCCAUUAAUAUAUCUUUUAAUAUUACUGCAAUUAAAGUCAAAAGCAAUUUAUCUUAUUAUCUGAUUCAUCUCGUUCUAGUUCUUUUCCUAAUCUCCAUCGCUUCUGCCUCUUCUAUUAUGGAAGUUCCAUACCACUAAGCUUCUCAUGCGUCUGCCGCUCCUCUUACUACCGUCUACUCCAACCCGUCUUUCUCUGCAACAAUCACCGCUGAUUCUGAACCCGUCUUUCUAGGCCGUUGUGCUCGUAAAGAUUUCCGAAUCUUACACCAGGAAGUGAAUGGUUCUAAGCGUGUGAAACUUAAACAGUGCUGCAACUUCUCAAAAGCCUACAGCUGUAUUGGAAGCCUUGCAGAAUUAUUAUGAGUCCUAUAAUGCAAACGUUCAUCAAGGAAUCCACUAAUUAAGUGAAGGCUCAGAUGAAUUUGAGUUAGCUAGGAAAAAAUAUCUAUCAGGAUGCUUAGGACUUCGUUCAUUUUGGAAGAGUCAAUGCUUAGGACUUCUUUCAGUGUAAACCAUGAUGCCGACCCUGAAGCUAAUCUUGUACAAUUCAAUUUGAAGACUUUCUCGGGGCUCUCGUUGAUAGUCACUAUCAACCUUAGUUUAGAUGGUAUCUUGUAGCAAAAUUUGUUAUUUAUUUUAUUUUGUUUUGUAAAUUUGUA